Molecule: long non-coding RNA, 1927 nt
Organism: Numida meleagris (helmeted guineafowl)
Lineage: Eukaryota; Metazoa; Chordata; Aves; Galliformes; Numididae
Exons: 4
Source: RefSeq, a predicted model, not a curated record
GGGAUCUUGUUGGAGUUCCCUGCAUAUCUGAGGCCUUUUGAAGGACCUUGCUGCUUUGCUGUUGUUGCUGCGCUUUCCAUUGUGUUGCAUCACUGUCCCAGAAUGUGGAGGUGUGCUCUCUUCUGGUGCAAGCAAAGCCAUGUGAAUGAGUGAUCAGACUCCAACAAAGCUGGAAAUAGGGGCCUUGCAGAAUCUGGCAAAGUGACAUUCAGUGACUGCACUGUUGAAAGACAAGCAGGCGUGAUUGAGCCAGCUGCAUUCUGCUAUUCAGCUCCAUCGGUGCCAAGAGUCCCUGGAGUAUUUCCGUUGUCUCUCUGGAAAACAUUGCAGCCUUUGUCUUCAUCAAUCUCCUUGUCCCGCUGUGCUGGGGCUGAGCAGUAUGGUACCUUUGGCUGCCCAAACCCUGAUCAGCUAAUGCAGCUGGCUGCCCUCUCUCCAGGCCCUGCAGGUGACCGUAGGGCUUUGGAUACAGACAGGGUUCAACGAGGAUUUUACUGAGAUGUCAGGUGCUGUGGAUGGGUGAUACUGGGAGAGAUGCGGAGAAUGCCUCCAUCUGUUGCUGUGCUUGGAGCCCUGCGUUGCUUCCUUCUAGAUUAAAUACACAUAUAAGGACAGAAAAAAAAAAAAUAGAUCAGAAAACCAACAGUUUUUUUUCUGCUACUAUUACUGGUUGAGUGCUAGGGAUGCACUGCGUGCUGGACCUGCUCUCAGCCACUCCCAGGCCUGCUGAAAUACCAGCUGUGGGCUGCUGAAAAUCAUCUGUACUUGUGCAGCUGCCUGUCUGAAGACUGCAAAAGAAACAUCAUUGGCAGAGAAAAAGGAAAAAAAAAAGAGGAAAAAGAAACUCUGGGGUAAAAAAAAGUCCCAACAAAAAAUUGUUGACAUGGUUUUUCAUUAAGUUCUCAUUUCAGAGUACGGGACUUCCCUGAAAUCAGUGAGCAUGCCCAUGAGCUGGGUAGUUUCCUCUUUCUGGCUCUGGAUGAGAGUUCCCAAACUGUUUCUCGCACAAAGAACACAUCCCUUAAUUUUAAUUACCAGUUAAACCUAACUUUUACCUUGUUAAUUUGGUCCGAAUCUCUUUUGUUCUGUUCUUUUGGUCUUCGGCAGAUGUGACCUUAAUACCAUCCUAUGGCUGUAAAUAGAAACUCAUCUUCAAUGUAUUUAUCCACAUUGCUCUUUGGAAAUCAUUUCCAGAACAGAGUGAGACGACCUUUAGUUAGUACUUAUGAUUUAGCUGUAACUAGGACUAGUAAAAUCCUAUGUGCCCAUUUAUUAAACCACCUCCGCAGGUACAAUCAUACUGGUGCCCUUCACCCUUCAAAAAAUAAAAUGAGAUUGAAAUGAGGGAGUUAGAACAUCUCCCUCCUCCAGGUUCUGAAAUCUGCAGUAUAAGCUGCAUGUUGCUAGUCAGACCUUGCUGUGUAAGUGUGGAAUAUUUGCUGUUAGAAACAGAAUCUUCUUGAUUUGGAAAGCCAAGCAGAGUUCGAAAGCAAAUAUGAUUUGUGAAACCUGGUGUCCAUCUGUCAUUGAAGGCAGGAGUGAUGCCUCGUUAGGCUCACAGCAUUUCUUGUUCUUCCUUUUUCUUCCCAAGGUUAUUUGCACGUCUUUCUUUGUAUUUAUUGACGUAUAGCGAGGUGUUUCUGAACAGUGCAUUUUCCCACUUAGCACAAGAAAAUAAGCUGACAUUUAAGUUUUCGUUUGUACCGAAUGUUGUUUUGAUAAGAAAGGUACCGUCGUGGAAAGGUUACAUCCCUCUCCCAUUCCCUUUCCCAUCUUACUUAACUUCUGAUGGCAGAAAUAAUGAGAUUUCCUCGGAAUUCACCAAGGACGCUUUUGUGGACAGAUUAGAAUCUCCUGAAGAUGCUCUGCAACUUUGCUGUUCUGGGCUCGGGGAAUGGAGGGGACAUAACCCCAGGUGAAGGCUGAC